AUGAAGCUUCAAGCACAAGUGGAGGCUUAUAAUGAGACCAAGAGGCUGCUGCGAGUCCUUAAGGAAAAAAAAGGAGAAAUUGGAGAAGAAAAAGAAGGAUGUGGAAGCCAAAGUCAAAGAAAUAUCUGCAACAAAGGAAUCCUUACCGGGGUCCCUAGAUGUCACCCUUCUUCAUCAGGAGGACUAGGAGAAGCCAGUGUCGAAUCUCAUCGAUGA
This is a non-coding RNA of Vicia faba (fava bean), 216 nucleotides long. The record is from the annotation of a GenBank genome assembly. NCBI's taxonomy places the organism in Eukaryota, Viridiplantae, Streptophyta, Magnoliopsida, Fabales, Fabaceae.